This is a non-coding RNA of Cinara cedri, 381 nucleotides long. The record is from the annotation of a GenBank genome assembly. Lineage: Eukaryota; Metazoa; Arthropoda; Insecta; Hemiptera; Aphididae.
ACGAUUAUAUACGAUAAUAAUAUUGACCAUCUACGGUAUGAUUAGUGAUAUACUCGGAUUAGGGACUUUAUCCGAACGUUGCAUCAGUUAUUGUGUGAAUCUUACCAGGGGAUUAAUUGGAGGGCACAUUGACGUACCACGUUUAUUAGAGCGACUUUGCUUACGUGUUCCUGCCGGUAAAACCGGCAUUCAGCGGUCCUUUUACUUGUCUGUUUGUUUUUAAUAAAUAUCCCCAUUACUAGAACGAUUAGUCAAACGAUAGUCAACGAUAGUCAACAAACUUUAGUCAACGAUAACUAGUUUUAUUCGUUACUAUUCCACUCUUUAUUAUGCUGUUAAUGAAUUAUGUUACUACUAAUGUAUUUUUAAAAGAAUGGUUGA